RNAcentral lists this ribosomal RNA (99 nucleotides) under Microcebus murinus (gray mouse lemur). Lineage: Eukaryota; Metazoa; Chordata; Mammalia; Primates; Cheirogaleidae. The record is from RNAcentral.
AUCUAUGUCCAUACCACUCAGAAUGCACCUGAUCUCAUCUGAUCGUGGAAACUAAGUAGGGUUGGGCCUGAUUAGUACUUAGCUGGGAGAGAUGUGAUU